Molecule: ribosomal RNA, 452 nt
Filed under: uncultured Thiobacillus sp.
Lineage: Bacteria; Pseudomonadati; Pseudomonadota; Betaproteobacteria; Nitrosomonadales; Thiobacillaceae
Description: bacterial SSU rRNA
Rfam family: Bacterial small subunit ribosomal RNA
Source: RNAcentral
CACAAGCGGUGGAUGAUGUGGUUUAAUCGAUGCAACGCGAAAACCUUACCCACCUUUGACAUGGCAGGAAUCCUGAAGAGAUUUGGGAGUGCUCGAAAGAGAACCUGCACACAGGUGCUGCAUGGCUGUCGUCAGCUCGUGUCGUGAGAUGUUGGGUUAAGUCCCGCAACGAGCGCAACCCUUGCCAUUAGUUGCUACGAAAGGGCACUCUAAUGGGACUGCCGGUGACAAACCGGAGGAAGGUGGGGAUGACGUCAAGUCCUCAUGGCCCUUAUGGGUAGGGCUUCACACGUCAUACAAUGGUCGGUACAGAGGGUUGCCAAGCCGCGAGGUGGAGCCAAUCCCAGAAAGCCGAUCGUAGUCCGGAUUGUUCUCUGCAACUCGAGAGCAUGAAGUCGGAAUCGCUAGUAAUCGCGGAUCAGCAUGUCGCGGUGAAUACGUUCCCGGGUCUU